Molecule: ribosomal RNA, 253 nt
Filed under: uncultured bacterium
Lineage: Bacteria
Description: partial 16S ribosomal RNA
Rfam family: Bacterial small subunit ribosomal RNA
Source: RNAcentral
UACGUAGGUGGCAAGCGUUAUCCGGAUUUACUGGGCGUAAAGAGCGUGUAGGCGGCCAAACAGGUCCGUUGUGAAAACUGGAGGCUUAACCUCCAGACGUCGACGGAAACCGUGUGGCUAGAGUCCGGAAGAGGAGAGUGGAAUUCCUGGUGUAGCGGUGAAAUGCGCAGAUAUCAGGAAGAACACCAAUGGCGAAGGCAGCUCUCUGGGACGGUACUGACGCUGAGACGCGAAAGCGUGGGGAGCGAACAGG